CCGAGUUUACAACUCCCAACCCUAUGUGAACCUUACCAUUCUGUUGCUUCGGCGGGAUCGUCCCGGGUGCGGUCGAAAGGCCAGCCCCGGAUCAAGGCGCCCGCCGGGGACCUAAACUCUUCUGAUUUUUUAUCGGUUUUCUUCUGAGUGGCUUAUUAAAGCAAAAAUGAAUCA
This 174-nucleotide unclassified non-coding RNA is filed under the name uncultured Mycogone. Its description in RNAcentral is "sequence contains ITS1". The record is from RNAcentral. Lineage: Eukaryota; Fungi; Ascomycota; Sordariomycetes; Hypocreales; Hypocreaceae.